RNAcentral lists this ribosomal RNA (351 nucleotides) under Salmonella enterica subsp. enterica serovar Typhimurium. Its description in RNAcentral is "bacterial SSU rRNA". It matches the Rfam family "Bacterial small subunit ribosomal RNA", at positions 1 to 346 of the family's 1533-position model. Lineage: Bacteria; Pseudomonadati; Pseudomonadota; Gammaproteobacteria; Enterobacterales; Enterobacteriaceae. The record is from RNAcentral.
UUAAAUUGAAGAGUUUGAUCAUGGCUCAGAUUGAACGCUGGCGGCAGGCCUAACACAUGCAAGUCGAACGGUAACAGGAAGCAGCUUGCUGCUUCGCUGACGAGUGGCGGACGGGUGAGUAAUGUCUGGGAAACUGCCUGAUGGAGGGGGAUAACUACUGGAAACGGUGGCUAAUACCGCAUAACGUCGCAAGACCAAAGAGGGGGACCUUCGGGCCUCUUGCCAUCAGAUGUGCCCAGAUGGGAUUAGCUUGUUGGUGAGGUAACGGCUCACCAAGGCGACGAUCCCUAGCUGGUCUGAGAGGAUGACCAGCCACACUGGAACUGAGACACGGUCCAGACUCCUACGGGA